CCACGUUGGGGAAGGAUUCUGUCGUCGGGAGGGGCCUCAGAUUGUUUGGUUACUUUCCACCCCCUUCCACGGCUGAAGACAGUUUAACGGCUUCCGGGGGAAGGGCAGUAUGACCCUUGAGACCGCAAGAUCCCUUCGGGACGGAGCAUUUCCUGUUGCCGAGAUUCGACCAGCGGAGCCCAUCUGUGAAAUCAUCUAGUGUCUCCAGGCGGCUGGAAACUUCCCCCUGCAGCCCCUGGCCGGAAGUCUCUCUGGCCCUAUCACGGCCCCAGAUGACGUUUUGAAAGGCAUCUCCUUUUAAGCCGGAAUCUUCUCAGGAUCGGGCAGGCGGGAGGACAAGGCAAUCGAGAAGAGAACCCAGAGAUUCGGGGGGUUCCCGACACAUCCGUAAAAUACCCGGUUGGUUCCAUCGGAGG
This is a long non-coding RNA of Ornithorhynchus anatinus (platypus), 416 nucleotides long. RefSeq lists it as uncharacterized. The record is from RefSeq and is a predicted model, not a curated record. Lineage: Eukaryota; Metazoa; Chordata; Mammalia; Monotremata; Ornithorhynchidae. The transcript has 3 exons.